UACGUAGGGGGCAAGCGUUGUCCGGAUUUACUGGGCGUAAAGAGCGCGCAGGCGGUCGUUCAAGUCGAGUGUGAAAGCCCCCGGCUCAACUGGGGAGGGUCACUCGAUACUGAUCGACUCGAAGGCAGGAGAGGGAAGCGGAAUUCCUGGUGUAGCGGUGGAAUGCGCAGAUAUCAGGAGGAACACCGGUGGCGAAGGCGGGUCUCUGGGCAGUAACUGACGCUGAGGAGCGAAAGCGUGGGGAGCGAACAGG
Molecule: ribosomal RNA, 253 nt
Filed under: uncultured bacterium
Lineage: Bacteria
Description: partial 16S ribosomal RNA
Rfam family: Bacterial small subunit ribosomal RNA
Source: RNAcentral